CAGGAGGUCACCUGAUCUCUUUGUUAUCCAACACCUUCAGUUGGCACCUUGCAGGGGAGGGGCCCAGGCCAUCAGUUGCCAGGAGACGGGAUGUCAGCCAUUCUCUGAGCAGACAGCAUCACACUGGCCCUCUAGGGCUCCUCACCAAUCACACCCCCUUAUCCCACCACCUAGAUACUUAAGAAAGGCCUAGGGGAAGCUGAGGCACCCACACAGUAUUCAGAGAAACCAUUAAGAACAUUCUCACUUCAUCACAGCAUCCAGGCUUGAUUUGCAUAUUUCAAGAGAUGGAAAGUUGUCCACUUCUAUUGGUAUUUCGUUAGACUUUGCACCACCUUCCCAGAUCUAUUGCCAGUGGCUAUUGCCAGCUUCACAGCUAGAGGGGUUCCCAGUAUCCAGACCUGAUGUGAGCUCCCAGCUGGAACGAGGGGAAGAGCCGUUGGUCCCAGAUCUCCAGGGCUCGGAGGACAGAGAGAGCAUCUGCACGGCAGGUGAUGGGACGGUGAGUGAGACGAGGGAGCAGAAUUCUAAAGAGGAAGAUACUGAACAAGUGGAACUGCAUAGGGCAUCAUCACAAAGAGACAAAGGGAAUGUGCCUGGGAAUUGUGAGCAGGAAGAAGGUUAUGGGCAUCAGCAGAGGCCAGAGCAGCAGCUGGGAAACCAGACAGAGGAAAAAGUGGGUAAAU
Trachemys scripta elegans is the source of this 686-nucleotide long non-coding RNA. RefSeq lists it as uncharacterized. The record is from RefSeq and is a predicted model, not a curated record. The transcript is spliced from 3 exons. NCBI's taxonomy places the organism in Eukaryota, Metazoa, Chordata, Testudines, Emydidae.